AAUGAACGCUGGCGGCAGGCCUAACACAUGCAAGUCGAACGGAUCCUUCGGGAUUAGUGGCGGACGGGUGAGUAACGCGUGGGAACAUACCCUUUGGUACGGAAUAGCCUCGGGAAACUGGGAGUAAUACCGGAUGUGGUCGAGAGACGAAAGAUUUAUCGCCAAAGGAUUGGCCCGCGUUGGAUUAGGUAGUUGGUGGGGUAAUGGCCUUCCAAGCCGCCGCUUCAUAGCUGGUUUGAGAGGAUGAUAAGCCACACUGGGACUGAGACACGGCCCAGACGCCUACGGGAGGCAGCAGUGGGGAAUCUUAGACAAUGGGGGAAACCCUGAUGUAGCCAUGCCGCGUGAUCGAUGAAGGACUUAGGGUUGUAAAGAUCUUUCAGGUGGGAAGAUAAUGACUGUACCACCAGAAGAAGCCCCGGCUAACUCCGUGCCAGCCGCCGCCGUAA
Molecule: ribosomal RNA, 449 nt
Filed under: uncultured bacterium
Lineage: Bacteria
Description: partial 16S ribosomal RNA
Rfam family: Bacterial small subunit ribosomal RNA
Source: RNAcentral